GUCUUUAAGAAUUUUAAUUUAAAGUCCAAUCUGCCCAAUGAAAAUUAAUUUAAAUGGCUGCAGUAUAUUAACUGUACAAAGGUAGCAUAAUAAUUUGUUUUUUAAUUAAAAACUAGAAUGAAAGAUUAAAUGAAAUAUAAACUGUUUCAAUAAAAAAUAUUAAAUUUAUUAUUUAAGUAAAAAAACUUAAAUAUUUUUUUUAGACGACAAGACCCUAUAGAAUUUUAUUUAAAUCUAUAAAUAAUUAUAAAUUUAAAUUUUGUUGGGGUAAUAAAAAAAUUAAAUUAAUUUUUUUUAAAAAUAACAUUUAUAAAUGAAUUUUUUAUCUUAAAAUUUAAAUUAAAAAAAUUAAUUACCUUAGGGAUAACAGCAUAAUUUUUUUUAAAAGACCAUAUUAAUAAAAAAGAUUAU
This 411-nucleotide ribosomal RNA is filed under the name Glyptomorpha sp. Its description in RNAcentral is "partial 16S ribosomal RNA". Lineage: Eukaryota; Metazoa; Arthropoda; Insecta; Hymenoptera; Braconidae. The record is from RNAcentral.